GAUUUCUUCGGAACAGCUUGGCAAGGGGAAGAUUACUUGGUGGAAAGGGCCUGACCUGGAAAGAACGUAAGGAUGACACUCGAUUUUUGGUACGGUGUGGAGGAGCCAUCAUCUUCUCUUCUGUAUACGGUUUCUCGCGGCACCGCAGUUACUCCAAAUGGCUGGAAGUAUUCCAGGAGGUCGCUCUCGAAAUUGCACCUGCGGUAAGACUGAGAUAAGACUCCGGAAUGCUUGCCAGGACAUGAAUACCAACUACGCUCUUUAACUGAAGAGGACUUUUCGCAGCUCCUUCUCAGUGAACGGUAAUGAUAAGAUUUCCGCCUCUGGUGAUGCAGUGAUAAAUAAUCUUAUAAUCUUCA
Ornithodoros turicata is the source of this 359-nucleotide long non-coding RNA. RefSeq lists it as uncharacterized. The transcript has 2 exons. NCBI's taxonomy places the organism in Eukaryota, Metazoa, Arthropoda, Arachnida, Ixodida, Argasidae. The record is from RefSeq and is a predicted model, not a curated record.